UUCCUGGGGCAAAGGCUCUUAAAAGGGAUUUUAUUAGAGCAGAGUUAAACUUCUUUAUUAUUCAUUUUCUAAAUACCAAUUUUUAUUAAGGUAAAAAUGUGUAUAAUUCAGAAGCCGAAGCUACCGAAGAUGUCCACACAACGGGUAUAUUAUAAAUAUAAACAGUUUGCACUAGGUAGGAUAUCGUUAAUCUACAAUAUUUGGAGAAAAAAAACGCUGUACUAAUACAUACAUCCUGUUCAAAGAAAUGUCUUGGUGACAAGCUAACAACAGGAAUACCCGUUCUGGUUUUUCCGUCUGCUUUAAAAUUGUCAAACGGCGGCCAUUUCUCGUUGCCACGAACGCUGUUAAUCAACAAGAUAGUGUACUAAAAUUUUUUUAGCUUCAAGAUUUCAAAACAAGAACAAUAACUAUCAUUGAAAAAAUAUUCCAAUUUUGACAAAAGUAGAAAUGAAUCAAUCGACAGUCAGCUCUGUUGAUAUUAGCCACACAUUUGUUUUUCAGAUCUGAGUGGGACAGAAUGACAGACGGACGAACAGAUACAAACCUAAUAGCGGAUUUUCUCCUUACGGGGGCCGCAAAAAUAUAUAUAUAUAUAAUUCACAAUGUAAGAAUUCGAGUAUUCGAUACUAGAUGGAAAAUUGGAGAGAUAUUCAGUUUUUAAUUUCUAGGCUUCACUUCAAGUUGUUGUCCUAUUAUUUGAUGCUAACAUGAUUCGAUCGAAUAUAAUUUGCUCUGGUGAUAAGUGUUCUAUAAUUCACAGGCUAAAUUAAUGUAGUUUGAGGGCUAGUUAGCAUUCAAACGUGUCAAAUAAACGAGCAUAAUUAAUAGAAUACCAUUGAUAUUUCCUAGAAAUAUAUAAAUCUAUAUUCCUUUUUGUUAGUCUGUUAUUUAAAAAAUCAUAUUUAAAUACGUUGUAUAUAUAAAUCUGUCCCUUGGUCUGUUAUAAGUCUUGUUGUGAAAGUUACAAAAGGAUUGAUACUAAAAAGCUGACAUGACCGAGUGGAUGUGAUCCAGUUCACAGCUGUACAGUAGGUAGACAUCCGACGCUGGAGACAUUCCCGUACACAAAAAAAGGAGUUGCUGAGUUGAACUUGAGCCAUGGGCGUGUCCACUAGUUUGGUGUUCAUUAGUUUGUGAAAGUUUAUCAACUCAUAGGUGAAGCUACUAACUAAUACUUCCAUUUCACAGAUAUGUAGUGGGUUGCUUUCAUUCGUUCUGAAGAGAAAUAUUUAUAAAACAAAACUGAUAAAAACUGUCCAUAAUUUAACAUUAAUAUUAAUAAACUUGAAUGAUACUAAAUCUUCUACAAGAAUGUAACUAAUUUUAAUGUCCAGAUAAUCACUCAACAUAAUAUUCGAUCGAAUAUAAUUUGCUUUGGUGAUAAGUGUUCUAUAAUUCACAGGCUAAAUUAAUGUAGUUUGAGGGCUAGUUAGCAUUCAAACGUGUCAAAUAAACUACAAAUUAAAUUUAAGCUAAUGGGAGCUGUGUGCCUCCUGCAGUCAAACAAUAUUAGAAAUUUCAAACUUUUAAUUAGUCAAAGCAAGGCGAAGGUCUCCUCUAGUGGCUACAUCCAGUCUUUUUCUUUGCUUAAUUAUUAGGUUUGUUACGCACUAGAUAUAGGUUAACCAUGUAUGUUGAUAGAAAGCUAAAACAUAAUUCCAUUUUCGACCACAGUUUUACAAUUUGACUGAAACCUUCAAGUGCAGCCACAUCUCUGUUGUGCCUCCUGUGUGAACAUUUUUUUUUACUGAAGACAUAAUUUUGUAAAUCUAUUUUUUUCCUGCAACUCAAUUUGAACACCAGUAACAGAUGUUUUUCAAUUGUUAUUUAUAAUUAUUUUUAUUUAUUUAUUUACAUCCUAGAAGCGAAUUGUAAUUUCUUCAUAGAGCAUUGUUAUGUGAAUUGCAUAGAUAUCGAUGUACUUAGGCAAUUCAUUUAUCAACAAAUAAGUUAUGUUAGGUUGUAAAACCCUUUAAAAUAGAUUUAAUAUCUCGAUAAAAGAGAAAAUGAUGUAAUCAAUGAAAGUCAAUUUCUUUGCUUGCAGUCGGAGGUUGGUUUCAUUCGUUUGCAUUAGAUUUUUUAGCCUGCUUUAAGUCAUUUCCAACCAUUGAAUCCCCCUGUUUCUUUUUUUUUUAAAUAAAAAAUUGUAUUUAAGAGCUUAACAAAACAAGCAAUAACAAAUUACUUUCGAAAUCCAGCGAACUUAACUUUAUAACAAGAAUCUAUGAUUAUUCUCAUUAUUUGUUUCACAAAACUGGUGAAAGAUGCGCUUAUUUUCGGCACGGGUUUGUAUUUUAUUUAAAAUUGUUAUAAUUAGAUUAAAAAAGUAAUGAAAUUGAGGGCUAAACUAUUAUUAAUAUGUUGCCUGUGUAUCAUAACUCACAAUGUGAAUAGUGAAUAGAUCUGUUCUUUAUUCUAUAUUACUUAUGAAGCCAUUGUAGCGUCCAACCACUGAUGGUUCCUUAUAUGUCGUCAUAAGCUACAUAACUAGACAAUUUUGUAAAAAUAUUUCAUCACUAACAAAAAAAAGUUUUUUGUGUCACAGCUAUGUUUUGAAAAUUUUUAAUUUUAGUUUUCAUCAAUUUUCAAACAAUAUCUUUAAAAAGCUAUGCAUUUUCUUAAGAGGGCGCUAAAACAUAUCCUGCUUUGCCGGUUUUUUUUUUAUAAAUAGUGUUUGAAUAGUAGAUUUGUAUAUAUGUUCAUGGAUAUUCAAAAAAUUUUUUUGGGAUAUAGCUAUAUGUUCGUGAAACCGAUUGGGUUUCAUAAUCUCAUCUGACAAUGCCGUCAUUCAAAGUAGAACAUUGUAAUACGUUUUAUCUAGUUGCUAGUCACUAUAACUCUUAUUUGGGAGGCACUAUAUAUCAACGAGUUUUAGUAACAACACUUUGUCAAUGUUUUUUUUUGUUUUAAAAUUUGUUAAAUUAUUAUAUUUGAAUGUUAGCUUUAACAAUUUUUUAAAUUAACAU
RNA transcript from Biomphalaria glabrata, 2969 nucleotides. RefSeq lists it as uncharacterized. The record is from RefSeq and is a predicted model, not a curated record. Lineage: Eukaryota; Metazoa; Mollusca; Gastropoda; Planorbidae. The transcript is spliced from 4 exons.